AUGCAGACAUCAUGCUUCUUAGGUUCAAUUAUAUUGUUGUAUGUUUUGUGCUUAAGAGUGCAAUUUUUAGCCUCCUUAGCCAGGCACCUUGGAAAGGAUGGAAAGGAUUCUGGUGGAAGGAUGAUGAGAAGUUGGGCAUGGCCAGUUGCACCAAAGCAUGAGAAGGCUGUGAGAGAGGUGGUGGAGAUGGUGAAGAUAUCUUGUCCGAUGGAAGAUCAAGGUAACCAGAUCAGAUGUACCAUAGGCUUUAUUUCCUCACAACGACCAUUUAUGCAAUUUUCUAUUGACAUAUACCAUUGGGGAAAGGAAAUCUUCACAUGA
This 321-nucleotide ribosomal RNA is filed under the name Triticum aestivum (bread wheat). Its description in RNAcentral is "partial small subunit ribosomal RNA". The record is from RNAcentral. Lineage: Eukaryota; Viridiplantae; Streptophyta; Magnoliopsida; Poales; Poaceae.